CCUGGGGCAAAUCCGAUUGGCCACCUUUUCUUGGCGAGGCUUUUUUGCUAAACUUGGGUGAGUAAUUGCCUCUCGCGGCGGAUGCUUGGGCCCCGUGCGAUUCGGCCCGUGAACCCUGUCAGGUCCUGACGGAAGCAGCAGUAAGCGGUUCCCCGGAUGUGUUUCGGAUUCGUCUGAGCAUUCGCCCUAGGAGGCAAUUUCUAUUCCCUAGG
Molecule: signal recognition particle RNA, 212 nt
Filed under: Eubacteriales bacterium
Lineage: Bacteria; Bacillati; Bacillota; Clostridia; Eubacteriales
Description: signal recognition particle sRNA large type
Rfam family: Bacterial large signal recognition particle RNA
About the family: The signal recognition particle (SRP) is a universally conserved ribonucleoprotein involved in the co-translational targeting of proteins to membranes. Archaeal SRP consists of a 7S RNA and homologues of the eukaryotic SRP19 and SRP54 proteins. In most bacteria, the SRP consists of a 4.5S RNA and the Ffh protein (a homologue of the eukaryotic SRP54 protein).
Source: RNAcentral